RNAcentral lists this non-coding RNA (65 nucleotides) under Corynebacterium sp. Lineage: Bacteria; Bacillati; Actinomycetota; Actinomycetes; Mycobacteriales; Corynebacteriaceae. RNAcentral also lists the same sequence under 1 other name. The record is from RNAcentral.
GCGGACUGCUCACUGCGGGCCCCGGACGAGGGAGCUGUACCCGGGAAGGCGACAAGACGGCCAGA